AGGACUGUGAGGAAGAUCUGUGGUACCUAACCGAGCUAGAAUUAAGGCAAAGCACUGUAUUGCGGUUCUGUUUACAAGUUGUUACAAUGAGUAGUAGGGGGUACCUAGGCUUCACCAAAGAGGUACUUUAUUAUUAUUUUCUGAAAUACUGUGGUGCCAGUUCAAAAAUAAAUUUUUGCCAGGAAGCAUAAUGUCUAAUUAUUGCUUUCUUUAGAUAGAGCAGAUUAAAGUCUUACAUCAUUAAGGUGGCAGCAAACUUUUUUUUAAAAGCAGCACUAUCAUCUGAAGCAAAUAUACUACUACAUUUAGAAGACUGUUAAUCUCUGCUAGGUUAUGUCAUGUUCUUUUUAAGGUUUACUGAUAAUCCAUUUCAUGGCUAGUAGCUAUUCUUUUUCAGUCAUGCCAUGAAAACAGUCACUUGUCAACUUCCAUAGCUGUUGUCAUGUUUUACUAACAAUAGAUUAAUCAGCAUACAUAGAAUUGCCUUGCAGUUGCAUAAAUCGUGUGUAUAUAGUGAAUGUUGCAUAAAUAUACUUGCAGAUUGUUUUUAAUUUAAUUGAAAUAAAGAUAUGUUUGGCUGACAUAUGUUAAAUUAUUACAUGGACAAAUGUUCAACUUAGUUUUUCAGUUAAGCACUGAAGGGGAUAAAAGCCCAUGUUGUGGUACAUAUUUUUCCUAGUUCAAUGUAUGUAUUUUAGUAACAAGUCCAAAGAAAGGUUGGUUUUGGCAUGUUACAAAGUAAUAAUUAAGUAAUGUUUGAGAAACUGGGUUACUCCCAAACAGAAUUAUUAUACUUUAUAAAAUGUCUCACACCUCCUGUAUGACCCAUAUUAGAAAAAAUCAAACUUAGAUUAAUCUUUGCAGUAGCUUUCUGUGUCCAAAAUACACAUGACAGAACGUGUAUGUUAUAAGUAUUCUGACAUGGAUUAUCCAUAAACCUGUGUGCUGCUCUUCAACUCCAGACAGUACUGGGACAGUAAUGGAUGGCAGUUAUUGAAGAAAAGAAGCUCUGUAAUCCCCUCUACAGAUUGUUCAUUGUAGGUGUUACUCCAGCUCAGCAGCUUUCUGUUACAACUUUACUGUGUCAAAGGAUUUGCACCCUAUGGGUAAAUACUGUCUCUUGAAUUUUACUGUAUGAAUUUUUUAGGGAGGUGAUUUCCUCUAAGAGCCUACAUCUCGUCUCAUUGUUCAAUCAGAUCACAGCAAAUAAAGGGACAUCAUGCUUAAUAUCUUGUACCUGG
Molecule: long non-coding RNA, 1241 nt
Organism: Manacus vitellinus (golden-collared manakin)
Lineage: Eukaryota; Metazoa; Chordata; Aves; Passeriformes; Pipridae
Source: Ensembl